RNAcentral lists this ribosomal RNA (253 nucleotides) under uncultured bacterium. RNAcentral's name for it is "partial 16S ribosomal RNA". It matches the Rfam family "Bacterial small subunit ribosomal RNA", at positions 524 to 776 of the family's 1533-position model. The record is from RNAcentral.
UACGUAGGGUGCGAGCGUUGUCCGGAAUUAUUGGGCGUAAAGAGCGUGUAGGCGGCCAGACAGGUCCGUUGUGAAAACUCGAGGCUCAACCUCGAGACGUCGACGGAAACCGUCUGGCUAGAGUCCGGAAGAGGAGUGUGGAAUUCCUGGUGUAGCGGUGAAAUGCGCAGAUAUCAGGAAGAACACCUAUGGCGAAGGCAGCACUCUGGGACGGUACUGACGCUGAGACGCGAAAGCGUGGGGAGCGAACAGG